This 253-nucleotide ribosomal RNA is filed under the name uncultured bacterium. RNAcentral's name for it is "partial 16S ribosomal RNA". It matches the Rfam family "Bacterial small subunit ribosomal RNA", at positions 524 to 776 of the family's 1533-position model. The record is from RNAcentral.
UACGGAGGGUGCAAGCGUUGCUCGGAAUUAUUGGGCGUAAAGGGUAGGUAGGUGGUCUCAUUUGUCUGAGGUGAAAGCCUUGAGCUUAACUCAAGAAGUGCCUCGGAAACGGUGAGACUGGAGUCCUGGAGAGGGUCGUGGAAUUCCCGGUGUAGCGGUGAAAUGCGUAGAGAUCGGGAGGAACACCAGAGGCGAAGGCGGUUCUCUGGGCCUUACCUGACGCUGAGGAGCGAAAGCGUGGGGAGCGAACAGG